GUAUCUUUUUCUGUUCAUAGGUGGGCUUGUAUACACUCAGGAAAAAAAAGCAUGAAGAUUUAUAGGAUGCAUGAGCAGCCCUACUGAAUAAGGCACAGCCUGCAGCCAGCAGGGUGAUUUCAGCUAUUCAGCAGACCAGCUCUUGCCCACCCUGUGUUGAAACAUUCCCAUGUUUAACAGCAACUGAAGACACAUUUUGAUUAAUUGGACCUUAAGACCUUAAGCCAGACAGGAAUGAAGUCCUGGAGGACGGUCACCGUUUCCGAUGCGGAACAAAGCCUGGCCUCACAGCAGGUGCUCAGCCGGUUGCUUGGCCCUUUGCCAGUUUGACUGCAGCUUGCACAUCCUAGGCAUCUGUACAGACGUUUGGAAGUGCAUUUCAUUUUCCAUCAAAGAAUCGUUGGAUAAAAUGAGUAARACCAGUGGGAUUAGGGAGCUAAAUCUAGGUCUUCUCCUCAAGGUAAUCUUUCUUAUGAAUGCCUAA
This 484-nucleotide long non-coding RNA is filed under the name Dromaius novaehollandiae (emu). RNAcentral describes it as "lncRNA (ENSDNVG00000000987.1)". The record is from RNAcentral. Lineage: Eukaryota; Metazoa; Chordata; Aves; Casuariiformes; Dromaiidae.